This 489-nucleotide ribosomal RNA is filed under the name uncultured bacterium. RNAcentral describes it as "partial 16S ribosomal RNA". It matches the Rfam family "Bacterial small subunit ribosomal RNA", at positions 30 to 507 of the family's 1533-position model. The record is from RNAcentral.
UUGAACGCUGGCGGCAGGCCUAACACAUGCAAGUCGAACGGUAACAGGAAGAAGCUUGCUUCUUUGCUGACGAGUGGCGGACGGGUGAGUAAUGUCUGGGAAACUGCCUGAUGGAGGGGGAUAACUACUGGAAACGGUAGCUAAUACCGCAUAACGCCGCAAGACCAAAGAGGGGGACCUUCGGGCCUCUUGCCAUCGGAUGUGCCCAGAUGGGAUUAGCUAGUAGGUGGGGUAACGGCUCACCUAGGCGACGAUCCCUAGCUGGUCUGAGAGGAUGACCAGCCACACUGGAACUGAGACACGGUCCAGACUCCUACGGGAGGCAGCAGUGGGGAAUAUUGCACAAUGGGCGCAAGCCUGAUGCAGCCAUGCCGCGUGUAUGAAGAAGGCCUUCGGGUUGUAAAGUACUUUCAGCGGGGAGGAAGGGAGUAAAGUUAAUACCUUUGCUCAUUGACGUUACCCGCAGAAGAAGCACCGGCUAACUCCGUG